GACGAACGCUGGCGGCGUGCUUAACACAUGCAAGUCGAACGGAAAGGCCCUGCUUUUGUGGGGUGCUCGAGUGGCGAACGGGUGAGUAACACGUGAGUAACCUGCCCUUGACUUUGUGAUAACUUCUGGAAACUGGGGCUCAUAUCGGAUAGAAGCUCCUGCUGCAUGGUGGGGGUUGGUAAGAUUCGGCGGUUGGGGAUGGACUCGCGGCUUAUCCGCUUGAUGGGGGGGUAGUGGCUUACCAAGGCUUUGACGGGUAGCCUGCCUGGGAGGGUGACCGGCCACCUUGCGACUGAGAGAGGGAGCAGAAUCGUACCGGACGCAGUAGUGGGGAAUAUUGCAGAAUGGGGGGAAGCCAGAUGCAGCAGCGCCGGGUGCGGAAUGACCGCCUUCGGGUGGUAAACCUCUUUCGCAUGAGAUAAAGCCUGAGUGACGGUAAUGGGUAAGAAAGCAACGGCUAACUACGUG
Molecule: ribosomal RNA, 468 nt
Filed under: uncultured bacterium
Lineage: Bacteria
Description: partial 16S ribosomal RNA
Rfam family: Bacterial small subunit ribosomal RNA
Source: RNAcentral